UGAUGUGAGGGCGAUCUGGCUGCGACAUCUGUCACCCCAUUGAUCGCCAGGGUUGAUUCGGCUGAUCUGGCUGGCUAGGCGGGUGUCCCCUUCCUCCCUCACCGCUCCAUGUGCGUCCCUCCCGAAGCUGCGCGCUCGGUGGAAGAGGACGACGUCCCAGGUAUAGAAGGAGUGUACCGAGGUCUCCAGUCUUCGGUCCCGGGUAUACGAUAGCUGGCACAGUGUGUUAAAGCACUGAGCUGCCGAACUUGCGGACCAAAAGGUUGGGAACCACUGAUGUAGAUGGAUCCCAUCUGU
RNAcentral lists this small nuclear RNA (297 nucleotides) under Anolis carolinensis (green anole). Its description in RNAcentral is "7SK RNA". It matches the Rfam family "7SK RNA". From Rfam's summary of the family: 7SK was discovered as an abundant small nuclear RNA in the mid-70s but a possible function has only recently been suggested. The record is from Rfam by way of RNAcentral. Lineage: Eukaryota; Metazoa; Chordata; Lepidosauria; Squamata; Anolidae.